AUCCUUACCUGGCAGGGGAGAUACCAUGAUUAUGAUGGUGGUUUUCCCAGGGCAGGGCUUAUCCAUUGCAUUCCAGAUUCGCUACCCCUGUGGUCUCCCCAACUGUGGGCAACUCGACUGGAUGAUUUGUGGAAUGGGGGGGACUGCAUUCAUGCUCUCCAAUU
Echinops telfairi (small Madagascar hedgehog) is the source of this 164-nucleotide small nuclear RNA. RefSeq annotates it as U1 spliceosomal RNA. Lineage: Eukaryota; Metazoa; Chordata; Mammalia; Afrosoricida; Tenrecidae. The record is from RefSeq and is a predicted model, not a curated record. The transcript has a single exon.